GAUGAACGCUGGCGGCGUGCCUAAUACAUGCAAGUCGAGCGAACAGACGAGGAGCUUGCUCCUCUGACGUUAGCGGCGGACGGGUGAGUAACACGUGGAUAACCUACCUAUAAGACUGGGAAAACUCGGGAAAACGGGAGCUAUUACCGGAAAUAUUUUUAACCGGCAGGGUUAAUUAGUAAAAGCGGGUUUUCCUUUCCCUAUUGGAUGAAUCCGCGCCGCAUUAGCUAGUUGGUAAGGUAACGGCUUACCAAGGCAACGAUGCGUAGCCGACCUGAGAGGGUGAUCGGCCACACUGGAACUGAGACACGGUCCAGACUCCUACGGGAGGCAGCAGUAGGGAAUCUUCCGCAAUGGGCGAAAGCCUGACGGAGCAACGCCGCGUGAGUGAUGAAGGUCUUCGGAUCGUAAAACUCUGUUAUUAGGGAAGAACAAAUGUGUAAGUAACUAUGCACGUCUUGACGGUACCUAAUCAGAAAGCCACGGCUAACUACGUG
RNAcentral lists this ribosomal RNA (497 nucleotides) under uncultured bacterium. RNAcentral's name for it is "partial 16S ribosomal RNA". It matches the Rfam family "Bacterial small subunit ribosomal RNA", at positions 28 to 507 of the family's 1533-position model. The record is from RNAcentral.